RNAcentral lists this ribosomal RNA (30 nucleotides) under Pseudogymnoascus pannorum. RNAcentral's name for it is "partial 28S ribosomal RNA". The record is from RNAcentral. Lineage: Eukaryota; Fungi; Ascomycota; Leotiomycetes; Thelebolales; Thelebolaceae.
UNGACCUCGGAUCAGGUAGGGAUACCCGCU